This 265-nucleotide ribosomal RNA is filed under the name uncultured archaeon. RNAcentral describes it as "partial 16S ribosomal RNA". It matches the Rfam family "Archaeal small subunit ribosomal RNA", at positions 716 to 982 of the family's 1478-position model. The record is from RNAcentral.
AGUCACUGACAUUAGAUACCCGCGUAGUCCAGGGUGUAAACGCUGCAGACUUGGUGUUGGAAGUCCUUUGGGGGCAUUCAGUGCCGGAGAGAAGUUGUUAAGUCUGCUACUUGGGAAGUACGGUCGCAAGGCUGAAACUUAAAGGAAUUGGCGGGGGAGCACCGCAACGGGAGGAGCGUGCGGUUUAAUUGGAUUCAACACCGUAAAACUCACCAGGGAAGACUGUUACAUGAAGGCCGAGAUGAAGACUCUGCUAGAUUUUCAG